CAACCCUAGAUCAAUUCAAAGUGCCUUCAAACUCCCCAGUGAUGGUGGAUCUAGGGACCAUUGAAGCAGGAAGGAGGAUAUGGUCACUCACUCUAGAUUGAAUGAAAACACUACAGAAAAAGUGGUUUUUGCCGACGCUUUAAAAAGCGUCGGCAAUAGACGAUGCUAAUUAGCAUCGUUGUAGUGUUUCACCUAAGACGACGCAUCGUCAGAAGCAAAAUACACAACAAAACCUAGCGGUCGUUCCCCUCCUUCUCAUUUUGCAUCCCGAUCAAGGCUAGCCCUAGCUCCUCUCCUCCUCCCUCCUCUCUGAUGAUGAGUAGCCGAUCUUUUUUCUCUCCGGUGCCGAGCGUCGUC
Molecule: long non-coding RNA, 357 nt
Filed under: Phoenix dactylifera (date palm)
Lineage: Eukaryota; Viridiplantae; Streptophyta; Magnoliopsida; Arecales; Arecaceae
Description: long non-coding RNA (PDAC_LNC019906)
Source: RNAcentral